RNAcentral lists this transfer RNA (69 nucleotides) under Pseudorasbora pumila (moroco). RNAcentral describes it as "tRNA-His". It matches the Rfam family "tRNA". Rfam says of the family: Transfer RNA (tRNA) molecules are approximately 80 nucleotides in length. The record is from RNAcentral. Lineage: Eukaryota; Metazoa; Chordata; Actinopteri; Cypriniformes; Gobionidae.
GUAAGUAUAGUUUAACCAAAACAUUAGAUUGUGAUUCUAAAGACAGGAGUUAAAGUCCCCUUACUCACC